This 466-nucleotide ribosomal RNA is filed under the name uncultured bacterium. Its description in RNAcentral is "partial 16S ribosomal RNA". It matches the Rfam family "Bacterial small subunit ribosomal RNA", at positions 28 to 507 of the family's 1533-position model. The record is from RNAcentral.
GAUGAACGCUGGCGGCGUGCUUAACACAUGCAAGUCGAACGGAAAGGCCCAAGCUUGCUUGGGUACUCGAGUGGCGAACGGGUGAGUAACACGUGGGUGAUCUGCCCUGCACUUCGGGAUAAGCCUGGGAAACUGGGUCUAAUACCGGAUAGGACCACAUUUUGGAUGGUGUGGUGGAAAGUUUUUCGGUGUGGGAUGAGCUCGCGGCCUAUCAGCUUGUUGGUGGGGUAAUGGCCUACCAAGGCGUCGACGGGUAGCCGGCCUGAGAGGGUGUACGGCCUCAUUGGGACUGAGAUACGGCCCAGACUCCUACGGGAGGCAGCAGUGGGGAAUAUUGCACAAUGGGCGCAAGCCUGAUGCAGCGACGCCGCGUGGGGGAUGACGGCCUUCGGGUUGUAAACUCCUUUCGCUAGGGACGAAGCGUUAUGUGACGGUACCUGGAGAAGAAGCACCGGCUAACUACGUG